ACUGCUCAUCUUCCCCUUCACCAAAAUCGCACAAAUUCACCCUAACUCACCCCACGCGCCUUCCCCCUCCCUCCUCUUGCCACAUAGGAGUAACGGGCUCUGACAACAACAAGAUUCUCUCCCUCACUCGCCCGUUUUCAAGCUAUCUCACGUGGAUUAGAAGGCUCUAGAAGAAGGGUGUUGGAUGAGUGAGAGGCGUCGGAUCAAUCUCAUUCAAUCUGAGCCUCACAUUCACCACGUGCUCAUUUUCAAGAGAGCCUUAUCCGCUUUCUUUAAGAGGAAGAAAGAAUCCAGAGUUUGGAUAUAUAAGGGACCCUUUUCGGGUAAGGGUGGGGGGAUUUUUUUUGGUUUUGGAGAGAAUGUCUUGGGGACUAUUCAGAGGUUUCAUACUUGGUAAAGGAUUUGAGAGAUAGAUCUUCUUUAUCGCUCUUCGAUUUCUUAAAUGAUAACAGAGAUAAAGACUGAGGUUUUUUUUUUGGAUUUGUUAUUCCGUUUUCUUCUCUAUUAAAAAAUGCAAUUUUUUUUGAGUUUUUCGUUUGUUCAUAGUUUGCUUCAGAAAUUAGAAAAUUUCAAAAAAGGGAUUCCGUUUUUCUUCUCUGGUUCUUGUUUAAAGCAGUUGAUUUAAACGAGCUCGUCGCUGUUGAAGUUGUUGUUCGAGUUCGAAAGCUGAUGUUUUCCGUUUCUGGUUUGAGGUCUUGGUUGAGUUCUUUGUUGUGGAUUCAUCCGAUUCAUUUUAUUUUGAUUGUUGUAAUUUGCUGAAAGAUCAACUGGAAAUUUUAACAGAGCUGUAGCAGCCUGAAAUGGAGUGUAUAUAUUAAAGAGAAGGUUUGAAAGCAUGUCAAUAAAUUGGGAAGGCUGGCAAUUUGAGCUCGCAGAAGUCGUGGCCCUGUCACACUUUAGUUCACCUCUAUUUGGUUGCUUCUUGUUUGUUCAGUUAUUGUAUUCCUGUUAUAGCUGACUAAGGACUCGGCAUAAAGUAAUGUGUUUAACCUAUUUCAAAUGUUGCUAGGAUAUAGGAAUUGGAAUAGUCCAAUCCGUUAGCAAUUAAUCACCAACAGGUUUGGGCUUUGGUUUUUGUCCUUUUUGGCCAAGGCAUAAAAGGCUGUGCAUGUGUGUGUAUUUACAUAUGUAUAAGAAUUGUACGUCGUUUAGAAUGGAAAAUUUUUAUUUUA
Nicotiana tabacum (common tobacco) is the source of this 1172-nucleotide non-coding RNA. NCBI's taxonomy places the organism in Eukaryota, Viridiplantae, Streptophyta, Magnoliopsida, Solanales, Solanaceae. The record is from RefSeq and is a predicted model, not a curated record.